RNAcentral lists this non-coding RNA (29 nucleotides) under Mus musculus (house mouse). Lineage: Eukaryota; Metazoa; Chordata; Mammalia; Rodentia; Muridae. The record is from RNAcentral.
UUCCAAACAGGAGCACGGAUGUCCAGGGU